UCGGGAAUUUUGGGCAAUGGGCGAAAGCCUGACCCAGCAACGCCGCGUGAAGGAUGAAGUAUUUCGGUAUGUAAACUUCGUAAGAAUGGGAAGAAUAAAUGACGGUACCAUUUGUAAGGUCCGGCUAACUACGUGCCAGCAGCCGCGGUAAUACGUAGGGACCAAGCGUUGUUCGGAUUUACUGGGCGUAAAGGGUGCGUAGGCGGCGUGUCAAGUCAGUUGUGAAAUCUUAAGGCUUAACCUUAAGCGGUCAACUGAUACUGUCAUGCUAGAGUGCAGAAGGGGCAAUCGGAAUUCUUGGUGUAGCGGUGAAAUGCGUAGAUAUCAAGAGGAACACCUGAGGUGAAGACGGGUUGCUGGGCUGACACUGACGCUGAGGCACGAAAGCUAGGGUAGCAAACGGG
Molecule: ribosomal RNA, 404 nt
Filed under: uncultured bacterium
Lineage: Bacteria
Description: bacterial SSU rRNA
Rfam family: Bacterial small subunit ribosomal RNA
Source: RNAcentral